AACGAACGCUGGCGGCAGGCCUAACACAUGCAAGUCGAGCGAGCAUUUCGGUGCUAGCGGCGGACGGGUGAGUAACGCGUGGGAACGUGCCCUUUUCUGCGGAAUAGUCCUGGGAAACUGGGGGUAAUACCGCAUACGCCCUUUUGGGGAAAGAUUUAUCGGAGAAGGAUCGGCCCGCGUUGGAUUAGGUAGUUGGUGGGGUAAUGGCCCACCAAGCCGACGAUCCAUAGCUGGUUUGAGAGGAUGAUCAGCCACACUGGGACUGAGACACGGCCCAGACUCCUACGGGAGGCAGCAGUUGGGAAUCUUAGACAAUGGGGGCAACCCUGAUCUAGCCAUGCCGCGUGAGUGAUGAAGGCCUUAGGGUUGUAAAGCUCUUUCAGCUGGGAAGAUAAUGACGGUACCAGCAGAAGAAGCCCCGGCUAACUCCGUG
RNAcentral lists this ribosomal RNA (433 nucleotides) under uncultured bacterium. RNAcentral's name for it is "partial 16S ribosomal RNA". It matches the Rfam family "Bacterial small subunit ribosomal RNA", at positions 29 to 507 of the family's 1533-position model. The record is from RNAcentral.